UUUUUUUCCCCCUAAUAGAUUGCAAUCACAUGAAAAACGUACCUAUAAGAAUUAAAUCUAUGCCUAUACUGGUUUUAUGCAAAAAAUCGUUCAGUAUAUUCUUCCUAUUAAUUAUUGAACUAAAAUUGAGUAGAUUAUUAUUAUCACCAUUUAUAUAGCGCCAACAGAUUCCGUAGCGCUUUACAAUAUUAUGAGAGGAGGGAUUAAACUAUAAAUAGGACAACUACAAAAAAACUUACAGGAACGAUAGGUUGAAGAGGACCCUGCUCAAACGAGCUUACAGACUCCAAUGUUCGUG
Pelobates cultripes (western spadefoot toad) is the source of this 298-nucleotide non-coding RNA. The record is from the annotation of a GenBank genome assembly. Lineage: Eukaryota; Metazoa; Chordata; Amphibia; Anura; Pelobatidae.